AACGAACGCUGGCGGCAGGCUUAACACAUGCAAGUCGAACGGGCACCUUCGGGUGUCAGUGGCAGACGGGUGAGUAACGCGUGGGAACGUACCCUUCGGUUCGGAAUAACCCAGGGAAACUUGGGCUAACACCGGAUACGUCCGCAAGGAGAAAGAUUUAUCGCCGAAGGAUCGGCCCGCGUCGGAUUAGCUAGUUGGUGGGGUAAUGGCCCACCAAGGCGACGAUCCGUAGCUGGUCUGAGAGGAUGANCAGCCACACUGGGACUGAGACACGGCCCAGACUCCUACGGGAGGCAGCAGUGGGGAAUAUUGGACAAUGGGCGAAAGCCUGAUCCAGCCAUGCCGCGUGAGUGAAG
RNAcentral lists this ribosomal RNA (356 nucleotides) under uncultured bacterium. Its description in RNAcentral is "bacterial SSU rRNA". It matches the Rfam family "Bacterial small subunit ribosomal RNA", at positions 29 to 410 of the family's 1533-position model. The record is from RNAcentral.